RNAcentral lists this ribosomal RNA (435 nucleotides) under uncultured prokaryote. Its description in RNAcentral is "partial 16S ribosomal RNA". The record is from RNAcentral.
CCCUAUGGGGCGCAGCCAGGAAUGUGAAUGGCAAAGUGAUCAUGUAUGCCGAUGCGAUGACAGAUGCCAUGAAGACUGCCAUCGAUGAAACCAAUCGUCGGCGGAAAAAGCAACUUGACUAUAAUGUUGUCCAUGGAAUCGAACCCUUUACGGUAAUCAAAGCGGUGCACGACAUUACUGAGCGUCUCUCUUCACCAGUUGCAGUUGCUGAAGCGCGUGGCGAAUACCACGCUGGUGGAAAAACAGCCAAAAUACCUCUGAACGAUCUUAAGCGGAUGAUCACAGAACUGGAGAAACAAAUGCGGCAGGCUGCCAGCGAAUUGCACUUCGAAGAAGCAGCCGUGAUCCGGGAUCAGAUUAUCGAUUUGAAGACACUACUGGCUGAAGAAUCCAAUCUUCCGCCCUGGCAAAAAGCCCGUUUAUUGGCGGGGGAGC